RNAcentral lists this ribosomal RNA (465 nucleotides) under uncultured bacterium. RNAcentral's name for it is "partial 16S ribosomal RNA". It matches the Rfam family "Bacterial small subunit ribosomal RNA", at positions 355 to 815 of the family's 1533-position model. The record is from RNAcentral.
UAGGGAAUCUUCCACAAUGGACGCAAGUCUGAUGGAGCAACGCCGCGUGAGUGAAGAAGGUUUUCGGACCGUAAAGCUCUGUUGUUGGUGAAGAAGGAUAGAGGUAGUAACUGGCCUUUAUUUGACGGUAAUCAACCAGAAAGUCACGGCUAACUACGUGCCAGCAGCCGCGGUAAUCGUAGGUGGCAAGCGUUGUCCGGAUUAUUGGGCGUAAAGCGAGCGCAGGCGGAAGAAUAAGUCUGAUGUGAAAGCCCUCGGCUUAACCGAGGAAUUGCAUCGGAAACUGUUUUCUUGAGUGCAGAAGAGGAGAGUAGAACUCCAUGUGUAGCGGUGGAAUGCGUAGAUAUAUGGAAGAAUACCAGUGGCGAAGGCGGCUCUCUGGUCUGCAACUGACGCUGAGGCUCGAAAGCAUGGGUAGCGAACAGGAUUAGAUACCCUGGUAGUCCAUGCCGUAAACGAUGAGUG